UGGGGAAUUUUGGACAAUGGGCGAAAGCCUGAUCCAGCAAUGCCGCGUGUGUGAAGAAGGCCUUCGGGUUGUAAAGCACUUUUGUCCGGAAAGAAAUCCUUGGCUCUAAUACAGUCGGGGGAUGACGGUACCGGAAGAAUAAGCACCGGCUAACUACGUGCCAGCAGCCGCGGUAAUACGUAGGGUGCAAGCGUUAAUCGGAAUUACUGGGCGUAAAGCGUGCGCAGGCGGUUUGCUAAGACCGAUGUGAAAUCCCCGGGCUCAACCUGGGAACUGCAUUGGUGACUGGGCAGGCUAGAGUAUGGCAGAGGGGGGUAGAAUUCCACGUGUAGCAGUGAAAUGCGUAGAGAUGUGGAGGAAUACCGAUGGCGAAGGCAGCCCCCUGGGCCAAAUACUGACGCUCAUGCACGAAAAGCGUGGGGAGCAAAACAGGAUUAGAUACCCUGGUAGUCCACGCCCUAAAACGAUGUCAACUAGUUGUUGGGGAUUCAUUUCCUUAGUAAACGUAGCUAAACGCGUGAAGUUGACCGCCUGGGGAGUAACGGUCGCAAGAUUAAAAACUUAAAAGGAAUUG
Molecule: ribosomal RNA, 574 nt
Filed under: uncultured bacterium
Lineage: Bacteria
Description: partial 16S ribosomal RNA
Rfam family: Bacterial small subunit ribosomal RNA
Source: RNAcentral